AACGAACGCUGGCGGCAGGCUUAACACAUGCAAGUCGAGCGCAUCCUUCGGGGUGAGCGGCGGACGGGUGAGUAACGCGUGGGAACGUGCCCUCUUCUACGGUAUAGCCUCGGGAAACUGAGAGUAAUGCCGUAUACGCCCGCAAGGGGAAAGAUUUAUCGGAGGAGGAUCGGCCCGCGUUGGAUUAGGUAGUUGGUGGGGUAACGGCCUACCAAGCCGACGAUCCAUAGCUGGUUUGAGAGGAUGAUCAGCCACACUGGGACUGAGACACGGCCCAGACUCCUACGGGAGGCAGCAGUGGGGAAUCUUGGACAAUGGGGGCAACCCUGAUCCAGCCAUGCCGCGUGAUCGAUGAAGGCCUUAGGGUUGUAAAGAUCUUUCAGCUGGGAAGAUAAUGACGGUACCAGCAGAAGAAGCCCCGGCUAACUCCGUG
Molecule: ribosomal RNA, 433 nt
Filed under: uncultured bacterium
Lineage: Bacteria
Description: partial 16S ribosomal RNA
Rfam family: Bacterial small subunit ribosomal RNA
Source: RNAcentral